Molecule: ribosomal RNA, 454 nt
Filed under: uncultured bacterium
Lineage: Bacteria
Description: bacterial SSU rRNA
Rfam family: Bacterial small subunit ribosomal RNA
Source: RNAcentral
AAACGGGUGAGUAACGCGUAGGCAACCUGCCUACUAAAGAGUAGGGGACAACACGCCCGAAAGGGCUGCUAAUACCGAAUGUUGUGAGUUUUCCGCAUGGAGAGCUCAUUAAAGAUGGCCUCUACUUGUAAGCUAUCACUUAGAGAUGGGCCUGCGUCUGAUUAGCUAGGUUGGUGGGGUAACGGCUCACCAAGGCGACGAUCAGUAGCCCGGUCUGAGAGGAUGAACGGCCACAUUGGGACUGAGACACGGCCCAGACUCCUACGGGAGGCAGCAGUGGGGAAUCUUCCGCAAGUGGGCGAAAGCCUGACGGAGCAACGCCGCGUGAGUGAAGAAGGUCUUCGGAUCGUAAAGCUCUGUACGGAAGGGGAACGAACGUUAACCUUUAUCAACAACGAAGGUUAAUGACGGUACCUUUCAAGAAAGCCACGGCUAACUACGUGCCAGCAGCCGC